This 449-nucleotide ribosomal RNA is filed under the name uncultured bacterium. Its description in RNAcentral is "partial 16S ribosomal RNA". It matches the Rfam family "Bacterial small subunit ribosomal RNA", at positions 29 to 523 of the family's 1533-position model. The record is from RNAcentral.
AGCGAACGCUGGCGGCAGGCCUAACACAUGCAAGUCGAACGAACUCUUCGGAGUUAGUGGCGGACGGGUGAGUAACACGUGGGAACGUGCCUUUAGGUUCGGAAUAACUCAGGGAAACUUGUGCUAAUACCGAAUGUGCCCUUCGGGGGAAAGAUUUAUCGCCUUUAGAGCGGCCCGGGUCUGAUUAGCUAGUUGGUGAGGUAAAGGCUCACCAAGGCGACGAUCAGUAGCUGGUCUGAGAGGAUGAUCAGCCACAUUGGGACUGAGGCACGGCCCAAACUCCUACGGGAGGCAGAAGUGGGGAAUCUUGCGCAAUGGGCGAAAGCCUGACGCAGCCAUGCCGCGUGAAUGAUGAAGGUCUUAGGAUUGUAAAAUUCUUUCACCGGGGACGAUAAUGACGGUACCCGGAGAAGAAGCCCCGGCUAACUUCGUGCCAGCAGCCGCCGUAA